AGCUAAUAAGCUUGAAUAGCAUAUGUUUUGAAAACAUAAGAUAGAAACUUAAUAUUUCUAUUAGCUU
Molecule: transfer RNA, 67 nt
Filed under: Phyllomimus detersus
Lineage: Eukaryota; Metazoa; Arthropoda; Insecta; Orthoptera; Tettigoniidae
Also listed under: 1 other name
Description: tRNA-Ser
Source: RNAcentral